UGUAACCCGAGGCGUUGCCAAAACGUCACAUAGUUAGCAAGAGGACGCCUUCAACGUGUGUCCUUGCAAACCCAGAACUUAAGUGUUAAUGUGUCCAGUGAUGGGUUAUCUUCAAGUCCUUGGGUCAGACUGCCUGGAAAAGAAAUGUAUACAAAAAAAGUUGGGUGAAAACAGCAGCUAAUGAUUUUCUCUUCGUCGUUGGACGCUAAAAGAGGCCGCUAAAAAGAAUAUCGAAAUACCCCUUUAAAAUGUCAGCCCGGUCUGUGAAUUUCUGAAAUCAGGUUUUCACGUUAAGACCGACGACACUUUUUGAGCGUCCAUAAAUUAGACAGUGUUUAAAUGCUUUAACUUGAAAUGAACACGUAUAUAAAUGAUAAAGCACAGCCUACAAAAACAUUGUUUGUCAGCAAAAUAACAUUUCUUACGGAUACUGUGUCUGCUGAAGGAAAACAUACGGCAUUUCAUUCACGAACAAGAACUUAAUUUCUUUCUUCCUGGUCAGCCUAUGAAACAAAUAUCCACCUAAGUAGCAAUAAAAACGAACAUUUAAACGCCUCAAACGCUUCCUGAAAUGUGUCACGAUACCUACCUGCAGCUCCACUCUCAGACUCGAGGCGAACACGUACGUCAGGCGUUUUGUGCACGCCAAACGAACACGUGACCCAGCCCUGCUCAGGUGCGCUGGACAGGUAAUCAGUGACGUGAUUGGCAGCUGCACGCUCUCUUUCGGUUUCCUGUUCUACUUUUGAGCAGGUGCAUGUGUAACCUGGUUAGAUGUUUAAUGGGUUGAGUGCAGAGCGAGUGGACGUGGUUGUAGAUGAUUUUAAUAGAUUAUUUUGUAGGAAUUGGCAGUGAGGAGUGUGCUAAAUGUUACUCUUCUGUUAAAUCGCUUGAAGACAUCAGGGUUGGGAGAGUGUCGUAGCUAUCUUUCUGUAAGGCCGUGAUGUGUAUGUUUUAUUUGGUCCUUUGGCUGUUUUUGAAAGUUUCUAUUUUCAUGCGCAUAAUGAAGGAAAAGAAUCGACCCUGUUCACAUCUGAGAAUUGACUCUCAUGACUCGAAAUCGCAUGAUCUGUGUCUCACAGAAGGUUGAUUUGUUCUCUCCUUUGUGCUUUAUGUUUGAUGCAAUCAAACAAAUAAAGUGUUUUUUCCUACUUGCUGGCUAAGGACACC
Scatophagus argus is the source of this 1170-nucleotide long non-coding RNA. RefSeq lists it as uncharacterized. The record is from RefSeq and is a predicted model, not a curated record. The transcript has 2 exons. NCBI's taxonomy places the organism in Eukaryota, Metazoa, Chordata, Actinopteri, Scatophagidae.